This 1381-nucleotide ribosomal RNA is filed under the name uncultured Serratia sp. RNAcentral describes it as "partial 16S ribosomal RNA". The stretch from base 190 to 1339 matches the Rfam family "Bacterial small subunit ribosomal RNA". The record is from RNAcentral. Lineage: Bacteria; Pseudomonadati; Pseudomonadota; Gammaproteobacteria; Enterobacterales; Yersiniaceae.
AGGGUAUUUAAUAGGGGGCCGGGUUAUGGAUCCUGGGGGCCCAAGUUAUGCAGGGUUUAAAUAUAUAUCCCUAUUUUUUGCUUUUGGGGGCCAAGGCCUCUCCCCUUCAAAUUGCCAAAGUGGAUAGUUAGCUAGGCCCCUAAGGUCCCCUUAGGGAGGAUCCCUAUGUUUGGGAGGAUGACCCAGCCCCUAUAGAAUUGGGACCCGUCCAAGAUCUGGCAGGCAGCAGGUAAAAAAGGGUAGGCGGGGCAGCUUUGAUGCACCCAUGCCGCGUGUGUGUGAAGAAGGCCUUCGGGUUGUAAAGCACUUUCAGCGAGGAGGAAGGGUUCAGUGUUAAUAGCACUGUUCAUUGACGGAACGUUACUCGCAGAAGAAGCACCGGCGCCCUUAACUCCGUGUGUCCAGCAGCCGCGGUAAUACGGAGGGUGCAAGCGUUAAUCGGAAUUACUGGGCGUAAAGCGCACGCAGCGGCGGUUUGUUAAGUCAGAUGUGAAAUCCCCGCGCUUAACGUGGGAACUGCAUUUGAAACUGCAAGCUAGUAGUCUUGUAGAGGGGGGUAGAAUUCCAGGUGUAGCGGUGAAAUGCGUAGAGAUCUGGAGGAAUACCGGUGGCGAAGGCGGCCCCCUGGACAAAGACUGACGCUCAAAAGGUGCGAAAGCCUUGGUGGGGAGCAAACAACGGAUUAGAUACCCUGGUAGUCCACGCCGUAAACGAUGUUUACGACUUGGAGGUUGUGCCCUUGAGGCGUGGCUUCCGGAGCUAACGCGAUUUUAAGUCGACCGCCUGGGGAGUACGGCCGCAAGGUUAAGGAACUCAAAUGGCAAUAUUGACGGGCGGGCCCGCACAAGCGGUGGAGCAUGUGGUUUAAUUCGAUGCCAAACGCGAAGAACCUUACCUACUCUUGACAUCCAGAGAAUUCGCUAGAGAUAGCUUAGUGCCUUCGGGAACUCUGAGACAGGUGCUGCAUGGCUGUCGUCAGCUCGUGUUGUGAAAUGUUGGGUUAAGUCCCGCAACGAGCGCAACCCUUAUCCUUUGUUGCCAGCACGUAAUGGUGGGAACUCAAAGGAGACAGGGCUACACUGCCGGUGAUAAACCGGAGGAAGGUGGGGAUGACGUCAAGUCAUCAUGGCCCUUACGAGUACGUGCUACAAUGGCGUAUACAAAGAGAAGCGAACUCGCGAGAGUCCCCCAAGCGGACCUCAUAAAGUACGUCGUAGUCCGGAUCGGAGUCUGCAACUCGACUCCGUGAAGUCGGAAUCGCUGUAAACUGUGAGAUCAAGCUCGUCUUGGCCCCCGGCCCCCCUCCCCCUGGGGAAUGGGGUGCCAAAAAAAAUUGUUCCUCCCCCGGGGGCCUUCACUAACCUGGUUAGUUAACCCAUAA